This 482-nucleotide ribosomal RNA is filed under the name uncultured bacterium. Its description in RNAcentral is "partial 16S ribosomal RNA". It matches the Rfam family "Bacterial small subunit ribosomal RNA", at positions 28 to 523 of the family's 1533-position model. The record is from RNAcentral.
GACGAACGCUGGCGGCGUGCUUAACACAUGCAAGUCGAACGAUGAAGCCCAGCUUGCUGGGUGGAUUAGUGGCGAACGGGUGAGUAACACGUGGGCAACCUGCCCCAAACUCUGGAAUAACUCCUCGAAAGAGGUGCUAAUACCAGAUACGAACUAGACAGACAUCUGUACUAGUUGGAAAGUUUUUCGGUUUGGGAUGGGCCCGCGGCCUAUCAGCUUGUUGGUGAGGUAACGGCUCACCAAGGCUACGACGGGUAACGGGCCUGAGAGGGGGACCGGUAACACUGGGACUGAGACACGGCCCAGACUCCUACGGGAGGCAGCAGUGGGGAAUAGUGCGCAAUGGGCGAAAGCCUGACGCAGCGACGCCGCGUGAGGGAUGAAGGUCUUCGGAUCGUAAACCUCUUUCAGGAGGGACGAAGCGAAAGUGACGGUACCUAAAGAAGAAGCACCGGCUAACUACGUGCCAGCCGCCGCCGUAA